UGCGUAGGGGGCAAGCGUUGUCCGGAUUUAUUGGGCGUAAAGAGCGUGUAGGCGGCUAGGUAGGUCCGUUGUGAAAACUCGAGGCUCAACCUCGAGACGCCGGUGGAAACCAUCUAGCUAGAGUCCGGAAGAGGAGAGUGGAAUUCCUGGUGUAGCGGUGAAAUGCGCAGAUAUCAGGAAGAACACCCGUGGCGAAGGCGGCUCUCUGGGACGUGACUGACGCUGAGACGCGAAAGCGUGGGGAGCGAACAGG
Molecule: ribosomal RNA, 253 nt
Filed under: uncultured bacterium
Lineage: Bacteria
Description: partial 16S ribosomal RNA
Rfam family: Bacterial small subunit ribosomal RNA
Source: RNAcentral